Vanessa atalanta (red admiral) is the source of this 246-nucleotide long non-coding RNA. RefSeq lists it as uncharacterized. The record is from RefSeq and is a predicted model, not a curated record. Lineage: Eukaryota; Metazoa; Arthropoda; Insecta; Lepidoptera; Nymphalidae. The transcript is spliced from 2 exons.
CUUACGGCGAUCUCUCACAGACAACCUUUGGUGAUAGAAGCUUAGACGAAAACAGGAAAUGUUUACAACUCAGUGACUUACAGCGGCAGAACGGACUUGAUGCCAUCGCAAGCUCUUUGGUACGCCUUCCUUAUUGAGACUGAAUACAAAUCUAUUUGUGUCUUUUUGUCAUGGCUGUUACACUAUAUACCGGCUCUUAUAUUUGACGGAAUGUUAUACAAAUAAAGUAAAAUAUUUGGUAAUUUA